AAUAUAUUGUGAAUAUCAAAUACAUCUUUAUUUAAUAAAUACAUUUCAAGACACUGGAAGAUGAAACAAAUGUGACAUCGGAAUUAUGAUAACUAUCGUUACCAUCCCUGGAAACAUUUAACGAAGCAUUUUACCUAAAAGGAUUAUCAUCCGCCUCCUCUCUCUCUCUCUCUCUCUCUCUCUCUAAGUACAUUCUAUUGAGGUGGUUAAUAGUUUACUACGAGUCAGAACAGGAAUAGUAUUUAGUUUAGUCCUCCCUUCAGUUUUGUGAUAUGCAAGCAUUGCACUGCUAUUAACACCACCACCACCACCACUACUACUACUACUGCUGCCGUGUGACCUGCAACUACUAGAGUCUCCUCGAUCUGUGCAUGGUGGACAAGAGUAGCUAUGGUAACAGCUGCUGCUGCAUGGUGCAAAGUGAGACCUUCCAAUGUUGAAGGCUACAUUUUGUUUAGUUGUGGUGCUAUCAGCGAAGGAAUUUUGCCUACUCUCUUUGUAACGGAAAAGAGCAAUGUGCUUGUGGGACCUCACCUGUGGUGCCUCCUCCAGGCAUGGUGUCAGCAGAGAUGACACCUGGGAAACGCAGGCAACGGAAGUCCAGACCAAACCUGUGGUGGUAGUACUCACCCAAUAGUUCGGCAUGAACCUGGGAGAGGAGAUGCUUUUUCCUGCAGAUGGCGUACGAGAACCCCGGGACUCCCUCUAAACAUUUGUUGGCCGAAGACACAAGGUAAUCGAUUUUUGCGGCGGUGAGAUCCAGUGGUACGGCACCAAAGCUGCUCAUGGCGUCAACGAAAAACACAGUGCCUGGGAACACCGAGGAACACUUUUUUGGGACCAUUAGAACGAGUAUGGGUACGUCCUCCGCGUAUGUCUCAUGUCGCGUCUCAAUUGCGGCAUACUUGCACAUCUUCACCAUCCUGUUCCCGUAGGCUCCGUUGGCCAACACCAAUACCUGCGGGAAGGUAGAGGGGCGUCACUCCUGCUUCCCCUCCUCACCCCGUGCUUUAUUGGUGUACGAUGAUCCUGUAUGUGUGUUGGCGUUAAAAGUACUUACCCGUCUCCUCUUCAUAUUCCUCCUUUCCUUCUGUUUCUUUGAUUCAACAUGAAGCCACCACUAU
This is a long non-coding RNA of Portunus trituberculatus (swimming crab), 1124 nucleotides long. RefSeq lists it as uncharacterized. The record is from RefSeq and is a predicted model, not a curated record. NCBI's taxonomy places the organism in Eukaryota, Metazoa, Arthropoda, Malacostraca, Decapoda, Portunidae. The transcript is spliced from 6 exons.